CACGUAGGGUGCGAGCGUUGUCCGGAAUUAUUGGGCGUAAAGAGCUCGUAGGCGGUGUGUCGCGUCGGCCGUGAAAACCUGCAGCUUAACUGUGGGCUUGCGGUCGAUACGGGCAGACUAGAGUUCGGUAGGGGAGACUGGAAUUCCUGGUGUAGCGGUGAAAUGCGCAGAUAUCAGGAGGAACACCGGUGGCGAAGGCAGAUCUCUGGGCCGUAACUGACGCUGAGGAGCGAAAGCGUGGGGAGCGAACAGG
RNAcentral lists this ribosomal RNA (253 nucleotides) under uncultured bacterium. Its description in RNAcentral is "partial 16S ribosomal RNA". It matches the Rfam family "Bacterial small subunit ribosomal RNA", at positions 524 to 776 of the family's 1533-position model. The record is from RNAcentral.